RNAcentral lists this ribosomal RNA (59 nucleotides) under Solanum ambosinum. Lineage: Eukaryota; Viridiplantae; Streptophyta; Magnoliopsida; Solanales; Solanaceae. The record is from RNAcentral.
UUUGGCGAGAGUAGUAUUAGGAUGGUUGACCCCCUGGGAAGUCCUCGUGUUGCAUCCCU